CUGAACAGAUCCUAUCUUUAAAAACUGGACUUCUGAAACAGCUCACUAACCAGACUGGAUUUAUGUUGCACAGUUCACUAAACUGAAAUGCUAAUGACUACAGUUCAGUUAACACCUCGAACUUGAUCUGUUCGCUCGCUCAAUCUCACUAUCUGUCUAGAGAAGCCAAGAAUGGAUGCUUGGCACUGCCCUCACUUGCUCAAUGCAAUUCGGUUCUUGAACUCAAUGCAAUUCGGUUCUCACUAGCUUUUUUAAUCUAUCCCUAAUAUAAACCUUAAAAUGGUAUUUAAUAACAAGUUAUGAAAGCUGGUCAUGAAAGCUUGUUAUUCAAGGCUAGCCACCAUAUUUAAAUAUCACUGCUAGCCAGUGAUUGAAACCGAAUGGUUAUGUUUUUUUGUGCCAGUUGCACUAAACCUAAGAACCAGUUUGAUUCAAUUUUGCUGAACUUCGGCUUGGUUGCGGUUUAUUUUUCUUUCUGAAUUGAACUUUCAUCCAUGCCUAGUUUUUUAGGUUGCCAGUAGUAGAAUUGCCUUUGUGGCAAGUAUAAUGCGUAAAAAAAACUUCUGCCCUAGUUGUACAAUGAAAAUGACCCCGCAAUCCAAUCCAAUAACACACCUUACUAGCAAAUUCAUACAUCUAAAAUCAUAUAAUCUUCAUAGCCUCAAG
This 666-nucleotide long non-coding RNA is filed under the name Trifolium pratense (red clover). RNAcentral's name for it is "long non-coding RNA (TPRA_LNC009532)". Lineage: Eukaryota; Viridiplantae; Streptophyta; Magnoliopsida; Fabales; Fabaceae. The record is from RNAcentral.